This 518-nucleotide long non-coding RNA is filed under the name Phaseolus vulgaris (common bean). Its description in RNAcentral is "long non-coding RNA (PVUL_LNC003622)". The record is from RNAcentral. Lineage: Eukaryota; Viridiplantae; Streptophyta; Magnoliopsida; Fabales; Fabaceae.
UCUCUGCUCCACACCCCUAACGUCUCUUCCCUCUCUCUGCUCCACACCCCUAAGCCUCUUCCCUUUCUAUGCUUCACACGAAACGAAACCCUAAUGCCUCUUCCAUCACACGAAACCCUAACGCCUCUUCCAUCACACGAAACCCUAACGUCUUUGUCCUCUCAUGAAACCCUAACGCCUUUGUCCUCUCACGAAACUAACGCUCACUCUCGAGUCCGCCAUCGGCACCUCCGCGCAAGGAUUCAACAAAUCAAUCGUUUGUUCAGGUUUUUGCUUGCGCGCUCUAAACUCUAUAGCUUUGUCGCUUGAUAAAUUUACUGUGUUACUGUGUUCAUGUGAGAGGUAGGAAUUUGUUGCUGUGAGAAGAAGUUCAGGGUCAGAGAAGAACUUGCAUCAACUAACAUCUAAGUGGAUUAACCAGCAUCCAAAAACAAAUCAUUGAUCCAAGUAGUCCCUUGACAAUACAACUUUGUUAAUUUUACUUCCCCGUGCUAUCAAAACCUUAAAUGUCUGCUACC